Castor canadensis (American beaver) is the source of this 93-nucleotide small nucleolar RNA. The record is from Ensembl. Lineage: Eukaryota; Metazoa; Chordata; Mammalia; Rodentia; Castoridae.
GGCCUCCUGGUACUUACCACAGGUUGUGUUCUUACAUUGACUGUAUAGAAAGAGGAGGCUAUACAACUUACCUCUUCUCUCUUGGACAAAUAA